AUUGAACGCUGGCGGCAUGCCUUACACAUGCAAGUCGAACGGCAGCACGGGAGCAAUCCUGGUGGCGAGUGGCGAACGGGUGAGUAAUACAUCGGAACGUGCCCGAUAGUGGGGGAUAGCCCGGCGAAAGCCGGAUUAAUACCGCAUACGACCUGCGGGUGAAAGCGGGGGAUCGCAAGACCUCGCGCUAUCGGAGCGGCCGAUGUCAGAUUAGGUAGUUGGUGAGGUAAAGGCUCACCAAGCCUUCGAUCUGUAGCUGGUCUGAGAGGACGACCAGCCACACUGGGACUGAGACACGGCCCAGACUCCUACGGGAGGCAGCAGUGGGGAAUUUUGGACAAUGGGCGCAAGCCUGAUCCAGCCAUGCCGCGCGCGGGAAGAAGGCCUUCGGGUUGUAAACCGCUUUUGUCAGGGAAGAAACGCUCUGGGCUAAUACCCCGGAGUAAUGACGGUACCUGAAGAAUAAGCACCGGCUAACUACGUGCCAGCAGCCGCGGUAAUACGUAGGGUGCAAGCGUUAAUCGGAAUUACUGGGCGUAAAGCGUGCGCAGGCGGUCAUGCAAGACAGAUGUGAAAUCCCCGGGCUUAACCUGGGAACUGCAUUUGUGACUGCAUGGCUUGAGUGCGGCAGAGGGGGAUGGAAUUCCGCGUGUAGCAGUGAAAUGCGUAGAUAUGCGGAGGAACACCGAUGGCGAAGGCAAUCCCCUGGGCCUGCACUGACGCUCAUGCACGAAAGCGUGGGGAGCAAACAGGAUUAGAU
RNAcentral lists this ribosomal RNA (760 nucleotides) under uncultured bacterium. RNAcentral describes it as "bacterial SSU rRNA". It matches the Rfam family "Bacterial small subunit ribosomal RNA", at positions 28 to 783 of the family's 1533-position model. The record is from RNAcentral.